Molecule: unclassified non-coding RNA, 330 nt
Filed under: Hevea brasiliensis (rubber tree)
Lineage: Eukaryota; Viridiplantae; Streptophyta; Magnoliopsida; Malpighiales; Euphorbiaceae
Source: RNAcentral
AAAAGAAAAAGGAAAAAAUACACAGAAAAAGAAAAAGGGAGGGCUGAGCUCUCUGUUUUACGCUUUUAUAUAUGCUCUGUGUCUCUCUCUCGCACGGUUUGCAUAUUUCCAGGUUAAUGAAGUUGCCUAAUCGAUCUCCAUUCAAUUCCCAAGAUUCCCAUAAACACGACCUCCUAAAUCCAAAAUCUCUCGUGUUUUCCUGCCCAUUCUAGGGUUUCUUACUUUGAUCAUAUUUGCCUUUACUUUGCUUGCCUAGGGGUUUUAAACCAACCAAACAAAGAAACUACAAAGAAAAAGAACCAAAAAAAAAAAAUGGUGUUUGGAGCUCGG